CUACGGGGCGCAGCAGGCGCGAAAACUUUACAAUGCGGGAAACCGUGAUAAGGGAACUCCGAGUGUCCGUAAAUUCGGACUGUCCGUAUGUUUAAAAAGCAUACGAAGAAAGGGCCGGGCAAGACCGGUGCCAGCCGCCGCGGUAAUACCGGCGGCUCGAGUGGUGGCCACUAUUACUGGGCUUAAAGCGUUCGUAGCUUGGUUGUUAAGUCUCUUGGGAAAUCUAUCGGCUUAACCGAUAGGCGUCCAGGGGAUACUGGCAAUCUAGGGACCGGGAGAGGUGAGGGGUACUUCAGGGGUAGGAGUGAAAUCCUGUAAUCCUUGGGGGACCACCUGUGGCGAAGGCGCCUCACCAGAACGGCUCCGACAGUGAGGGACGAAAGCUGGGGGAGCAAACCGGAUUAGAUACCCGGGUAGUCCCAGCCGUAAACGAUGCACGUUAGGUGUAUCGAUGACCACGAGUCAUCGAGGUGCCGAAGGGAAACCGUGAAGCGUGCCGCCUGGGAAGUACGGUCGCAAGGCUGAAACUUAAAGGAAUUGGCGGGGGAGCACCACAACAGGUGGAGCCUGCGGUUUAAUCGGACUCAACGCCGGAAAUCUCACCGGAUAAGACAGCUGAAUGAUAGUCGGACUGAAGACUCUACUUGACUAGCUGAGAGGAGGUGCAUGGCCGUCGUCAGUUCGUACUGUGAAGCAUCCUGUUAAGUCAGGCAACGAGCGAGACCCACGCCAACAGUUGCCAGCAUGUCCUCCGGGAUGAUGGGGACACUGUUGGGACCGCCUCUGCUAAAGAGGAGGAAGGAAUGGGCAACGGUAGGUCAGCAUGCCCCGAAUUAUCCGGGCUACACGCGGGCUACAAUGGGCAGGACAAUGGGUAUCGACACCGAAAGGUGAAGGCAAUCUCCUAAACCUGUCCUAAGUUCGGAUUGCGGGUUGCAACUCGCCCGCAUGAAGCUGGAAUCUGUAGUAAUCGCGUCUCAAAAUGGCGCGGUGAAUAUGUCCCUGCUCCUUGCACACACCGCCCGUCAAACCACCCGAGUGGGGUCUUGAUGAGGCUGCGGUUUAUGCCGUGGUCGAAUCUAGGUUCCGCAAGGGGGGUUAAGUCGUAACAAGGUAGCCAAGGGCGAAUUCGCGGC
RNAcentral lists this ribosomal RNA (1136 nucleotides) under uncultured archaeon. RNAcentral's name for it is "bacterial SSU rRNA". It matches the Rfam family "Archaeal small subunit ribosomal RNA", at positions 323 to 1465 of the family's 1478-position model. The record is from RNAcentral.